This 555-nucleotide ribosomal RNA is filed under the name Colletotrichum fructicola. RNAcentral describes it as "eukaryotic LSU rRNA". The stretch from base 191 to 344 matches the Rfam family "5.8S ribosomal RNA". The record is from RNAcentral. Lineage: Eukaryota; Fungi; Ascomycota; Sordariomycetes; Glomerellales; Glomerellaceae.
CCUGCGGAGGGAUCAUUACUGAGUUUACGCUCUAUAACCCUUUGUGAACAUACCUAUAACUGUUGCUUCGGCGGGUAGGGUCUCCGCGACCCUCCCGGCCUCCCGCCUCCGGGCGGGUCGGCGCCCGCCGGAGGAUAACCAAACUCUGAUUUAACGACGUUUCUUCUGAGUGGUACAAGCAAAUAAUCAAAACUUUUAACAACGGAUCUCUUGGUUCUGGCAUCGAUGAAGAACGCAGCGAAAUGCGAUAAGUAAUGUGAAUUGCAGAAUUCAGUGAAUCAUCGAAUCUUUGAACGCACAUUGCGCCCGCCAGCAUUCUGGCGGGCAUGCCUGUUCGAGCGUCAUUUCAACCCUCAAGCUCUGCUUGGUGUUGGGGCCCUACAGCUGAUGUAGGCCCUCAAAGGUAGUGGCGGACCCUCCCGGAGCCUCCUUUGCGUAGUAACUUUACGUCUCGCACUGGGAUCCGGAGGGACUCUUGCCGUAAAACCCCCCAAUUUUCCAAAGGUUGACCUCGGAUCAGGUAGGAAUACCCGCUGAACUUAAGCAUAUCAAUAA